UACAUCCUACGGGGGGCAGCAGUGGGGAAUAUUGGACAAUGGGGGGAACCCUGAUCCAGCGACGCCGCGUGAGUGAAGAAGUAUUUCGGUAUGUAAAGCUCUAUCAGCAGGGAAGAAAGAAAUGACGGUACCUGACUAAGAAGCCCCGGCUAACUACGUGCCAGCAGCCGCGGUAAUACGUAGGGGGCAAGCGUUAUCCGGAUUUACUGGGUGUAAAGAGAGCGUAGACGGCAAUGCAAGUCUGGAGUGAAAGGCGGGGGCCCAACCCCCGGACUGCUCUGGAAACUGUAUAGCUGGAGUGCAGG
RNAcentral lists this ribosomal RNA (305 nucleotides) under uncultured bacterium. RNAcentral's name for it is "partial 16S ribosomal RNA". It matches the Rfam family "Bacterial small subunit ribosomal RNA", at positions 334 to 652 of the family's 1533-position model. The record is from RNAcentral.